UGAAAUUGGGUUGUAUCCAAA
This is a non-coding RNA of Caenorhabditis elegans, 21 nucleotides long. NCBI's taxonomy places the organism in Eukaryota, Metazoa, Nematoda, Chromadorea, Rhabditida, Rhabditidae. The record is from Ensembl.